CAGCGAAAGGGGCGGAGAAGGGUGGGGAAGGAAGCGCAGGUGUCUUCAGCCGAGAGAGCGGCGCACACACCGGAGCGGCUUGCUGCAAGGGGAGGAUACAGCCUGAAGGACAAAGCUGCUGAGUUCUAGAAAGAUAACUUAAAUGUUUAUGUCUGGCAGGAGAGGAACACUCAGCAGCCUAUGCUUCUCAGCAAGCCUAACUUCUCCUCAGAGGAUCCUUGGCUCAGUAGCUCAUGGACUGAUGGAUGGACCAACGGCAAGAUUGUCAAGUGAUUUUGCCUAGCUUGUGCAAGAUCACAUCUGAGGCUGGGAGCAGCUAUAGAUCCCGAAAUUGAGAAGCAAAGCUCUGGAAAGGGUUUCUACCUUGUCCAUGGUUGGAGGAUUAGAUUGGGGUAUUUGCACUUUUUUUCUGUGCUGCUCUUCACUUCCCACAGAUAUCCUGGCCUUCCUGCUUGCUGGAUGAAGUACAGAGAGUUCUUAAAAACAAGAAAAGAUGGGAAAAAGAAGUCAGAGAAAUUUAAAGCACGAGAAGGAUUCAACAUGCUGUGGCUGGUUUAAAGAUGGAGGGGCUAAUGUGACAAGGAAUGCAGGAGGUCUUCAGGAGCUGAAAGAGGCUCCUCUCUGACAGGCAGGAAGGAAAUGAGACCUGCCCUUACAACCAUAAGGAACUGAAUUUGGCCAAUAACCUGAAUGAUCGUGGAAGCAGAUUCAUCUCCAGAGAAGAAUACAGCCCUACUGAUACUUUGGGUUCGGCUGAGCCAUGCUACACCACAACUUCUGC
Zalophus californianus (California sea lion) is the source of this 781-nucleotide long non-coding RNA. RefSeq lists it as uncharacterized. The transcript has 4 exons. The record is from RefSeq and is a predicted model, not a curated record. NCBI's taxonomy places the organism in Eukaryota, Metazoa, Chordata, Mammalia, Carnivora, Otariidae.